UACGUAGGGGGGCAAGCGUUGUCCGGAUUUAUUGGGCGUAAAGAGCGUGUAGGCGGUCAGGUAGGUCCGUUGUGAAAACUCGAGGCUCAACCUCGAGACGCCGAUGGAAACCAUCUGACUAGAGUCCGGAAGAGGAGAGUGGAAUUCCUGGUGUAGCGGUGAAAUGCGCAGAUAUCAGGAAGAACACCCGUGGCUAAGGCGGCUCUCUAGUACGGUACUGACGCUGAGACGCGAAAGCGUGGGGAGCGAACAGG
RNAcentral lists this ribosomal RNA (254 nucleotides) under uncultured bacterium. RNAcentral describes it as "partial 16S ribosomal RNA". It matches the Rfam family "Bacterial small subunit ribosomal RNA", at positions 524 to 776 of the family's 1533-position model. The record is from RNAcentral.